UUUUAUUAAUCUAUCUCAUAAGAGAAAAUAUCUUUUAGAUUGAAUGAAACUUAUUGUACACUAGCGUCUAAGUUAUUUAUUUUGAAUAGAACUUCGAGGUUGGUUAAUGGAUGGACAUAACGGUUCAUUGAAAGUGAAGUCACUACCAACAUGUGAGUUCUGUUCAAGAAGGAAAAAUAACUAAGAGACCUUUCCUCUUAAAAAGGAAAAAGU
RNAcentral lists this long non-coding RNA (213 nucleotides) under Solanum tuberosum (potato). RNAcentral's name for it is "long non-coding RNA (STUB_LNC007155)". The record is from RNAcentral. Lineage: Eukaryota; Viridiplantae; Streptophyta; Magnoliopsida; Solanales; Solanaceae.